Molecule: unclassified non-coding RNA, 305 nt
Filed under: plant metagenome
Description: partial contains 5.8S ribosomal RNA, internal transcribed spacer 2, and large subunit ribosomal RNA
Rfam family: 5.8S ribosomal RNA (bases 1-105)
Source: RNAcentral
GAAAUGCGAUAAGUAAUGUGAAUUGCAGAAUUCAGUGAAUCAUCGAAUCUUUGAACGCACAUUGCGCCCGCCAGUAUUCUGGCGGGCAUGCCUGUUCGAGCGUCAUUUCAACCAUCAAGCCCCUGGCUUGUGUUGGGGACCUGCGGCUGCCCGCAGGCCCUGAAAAACAGUGGCGGGCUCGCUGUCACACCGAGCGUAGUAGCAUACAUUCUCGCUCAGGGCGUGCUGCGGGUUCCGGCCGUUAAACGACCUUCAUAACCCAAGGUUGACCUCGGAUCAGGUAGGAAGACCCGCUGAACUUAAGC